RNAcentral lists this long non-coding RNA (38258 nucleotides) under Malus domestica (apple). RNAcentral describes it as "long non-coding RNA (MDOM_LNC010024)". Lineage: Eukaryota; Viridiplantae; Streptophyta; Magnoliopsida; Rosales; Rosaceae. The record is from RNAcentral.
GAGAAAUGGUGGGUGAAUCCUUUAAUGAUCCUGAUUUACGUUCCACUGCAAAAGAUGUAUUGAAGGAAUGUGGAGGUUUACCUAUUGCAAUUGUAACUGUUGGAAAAGCCCUAGAAAAGAAAAACAAGCAUGAAUGGGAUGAUGCCCUUAAUCAGAUGCGAAAUUCUACCCCAGUGAACAUCCCUGGAGUGAAUGACACAGUUUUUUCUAGCAUAAAAUGGAGUUAUGAUAGAUUGGAGAGUGAUGAAGUUAGGUCAUGUCUUUUACUUUGUUGUUUAUUUCCAGAAGACUAUGAUAUUCCAAUUGAGUAUUUGGUUCGAUAUGGGUGGGGUCGAGGAUAUUUUAGCAGCAGCGUUACUUUGGAAGAUGCAAGAAAUAGAGUGCAUUCUUUGGUUGACCAACUAAAAAGAAGGUUUUUGUUGCUAGAUAGUGGCAAGAGUGAGGCUACAAAAAUGCAUGACGUAGUUCGCGAUGUUGCCAUAUGGAUUGCUUCAAGAGAUAAAAAAGGAUUUUUGAUAAGAAGUGAUGCUGAAAAUAAAGGGUGGCCAAAUUUAGCUACAUAUGACCAUUACACUACAAUCUCACUUGUUGGCGAUUUGGAGAUUCCAGUUGGUUUGAAAUGCCCAAAACUUGAGCUUCUACAGACGAUGGAAGGACUUUUUUCAGAAGGUAGCAUGAACAACAUUUGUAAGGCGAUGAAAGAACUGAAGGUUUUAGCUUUGGUGGGAAAGGAAAUGAAAAACCGAGUCUCAUUAAGAUCACUGAAGAAUCUGCGGACCUUGUGCCUAGAUGGGUCUAAUUUUGAUGGCACGUCUACUGAUGUUAUUGGGAGUUUGGAGAAUUUAGAAAUCCUCAGCUUUCGGGAUUGUUAUUCCAUGCGUGAGUUGCCGAGGGAAAUUGGACGACUUAAACAGUUAAGGUUGUUAGAUACGACAAACUGCGAGGAACUUGAGGUGAUUCCACAUGGUAUCUUCUCCAGCUUAUGUAGACUUGAAGAGUUGUAUAUGGUUAAUAGCUUUAACGAAUGGGAAAUUGGAAGAGGAAGAGAAGAAAAGGGGAUGGCAAGCAUUUCUGAGGUGAUGUCUCUGUCCGAUCAUUUGAAGGUUCUAGCCAUAGAGAUACCCAGUGUCAUCCACUUGUUGACAAAAGACAUAGUCUUGAAAAGCCCAACAAUAAGAUUCCUUAUACGCUGUGCAACAUGGGGACGGCUUUUUUCAGAGAUGAGUACUUAUGCAUUCGAAAAUUGUUUGGAGAUUAGUGAAAGUGAUGCAAGGGAGUUGGAGGAGAGUCAAGCAGUCAAACUUUUGUUGAAAAAAUCUAAAAAAUUGUAUUUGUCGGAGGUUAAGAAUUUCUCUGUCCUCACUGAUUUAGACCAAGAAGGAUUUCAAGAUUUGAAAGAUUUGCAGCUUUGGAAUUGUCCACAUAUCGAGUAUCUUGCAAAUGGAACAAGUGGGUUUUUGACCAACCUAAGAUUCCUUGAAUUGGUAUUUUGUGGUGUCUUAAAAUAUGCCUUUUCAUUAUCAGUAGCAAGAAACUUGGUACAACUCAAAGAAUUAAACAUUGAUGGAUGUGGUCAAAUGGAAGAAAUUGUGUCGAAGCAGGGGAGGGAACAUGAGGAGGAAGCCGAUAUGAUAUCUUUCGAUAAAUUAACCAAUUUGACUCUCGAGGGUCUAGGGAGUUUGGUUGGUUUCUUCCAAGCCAAGAAGCUAUACUCCAACCAAGAGGUAUGUCCCACUCUCCAAUCUCUAUGAUAUGAGGAGGCAGCCGAUAUGUGGAAAUUUGAAAUUGUUUAACUGAUAAUGAUUUUUCUUUUUCAGGAAACAACGGCAAGGGUUGAGCAUCAAUCUGCAGGCGUAUUUGAAAAAGCAAUAUUUCCAUCAAAGUGCAUUUCAUGGUUUCCAAGUUUAGAAGAGGUAGUAUUGGGACGUAUGAAGUUUGAAGGUGUGCUAUUUGAUUUGAAAAACAUUCCAUCUGGAUUUCAAGGCUUCCAAAAUUUGAGAUAUUUGGAAAUGAGAGAAUGUUCUGGUCUAGAAUAUGUGUUCUUGCAUUUAAUUGCCCGAAAACUUUUGAAUCUUGAAGAGGUAAAGAUAUUAAAAUGCCCGGACAUGGAAGCUAUAGUCAGAAUCCCAGAGGAAAUUGAAGAAGAGGCGACAAAAUACAUGAUUUUGUUUCCGAAACUGAACACAUUUGAACUAGAAGACCUGCCUCGUCUCACAAGUCUUUGUCCAGAGGGAUUUACAUUUCUACGGUCAUCCACAAAAAAAAUGCACGUGAAAAGAUGUGAAAAUUUGAAGACAUUGGGUGUUGUAAUUCCACAAAGAAAGAAGUUGGAGAAUAACUUGAAGAAGGAUUCAACAAGUCAUGAUUUCAGCACUUCUCCAACACGUUCAUCAAAUUGGUGCCCUGCUGGAUGUGGAUGCGCACCAUAUUCAAGACCAAACGCCCACCGCCCCAUUGAAAUAUUGCCACGUCCAAUUAACCUGGAGGUAAGCUUUUAAAUCAGGUUCAAUUAACCUCUAUAAGUACAACUUUUAAUCAGUAUUGUAUCAUCUUGUUGAUCGUGCUUAAUUUUCUAGGUUACACAAACUAAUCUUGAGGACUCAAAUGAUAAUGAUAAUCUCGAAAAUCUUACUGUAAGUGACUGUAAUUCGAUGGAAGUGAUUUUCCAACUCAAGGGACCGAAGCAUGAAGAAAGUAGUCACUCCAUUGAAGCAUUCAAUAAAUUGAGUUCCUUGCGGUUAGAUAGAUUGCCAGGUUUAACGCGUGUUUGGGAGAUGGGUAGUUCACAACCGAUGUUGACAGGAAGCAGCUUCGGAAACUUGAAAUCGCUGGAGGUUGGUUUUUGCAACCAGUUGAAAUACUUGUUUUCAUCGUCCAUAGUCAAACUUCUCGUGAGUAUAGAGGACAUAGAAGUUCAUAACUGUGAGAAGAUGGAAGAAAUCGUUGCCGCAGAAGAAGAAACUGAUGAAACAAUUACAUUACCUAAAGUGAAGUCCAUCAAGCUUGAAAGUCUGCCAAAACUCAAGUAUUUUUGUGGUGAAGCUUAUACUUUGAAGUUGCCGUCUUUGGAGUUAUUGGAGUUUGAUGACGUGCAAAACUUAAGCUUAUUAGCUCCAAAGCUUAUUGCCACACAUCCCCGAUUGCAAGUACGCACCGCGUUGGGAGUGGCUGAAUGGAAGGGGGACCUCAAUGCCACUCUUAAGGAAUAUUUACGUCACAAGGUAUGCUUUAAUAUAAGGUUUUUAAUUUCCAAUCAUUUAUGGCAAACACCACAAAAAUUCGACAACAAAUUUAGGCAAAGCAUAAUCAACAGUUCAGAUUUAGUUUGACGAAAGUGUAAUCAAAAUUUAGUCAAAAACCAUACACACACACACACACAUAUAUGUAUGUGCGUAUGUGCACACUAGAGUGUAUUUAGAUAUGUUUUUCUUCUUUUGAAAACUCAAUUAGAUCUCAAGAAAAUAUCUGCCUUUUAUUUCUAACACAGGAAGGGUGAAGAUGAUGAAAUCGAGAGGGAGGACGAACACAAUUAAUUGAUCAAGCACAAAGGUUAACAUGUCUCCAUCUUCAACUUCUUCUAGGCUUAGUAAAAACUGCUAUUUUCGGAAACACAUAUACAAUAAGCAUAACCGUUUCAACUUAUUUGAGUUUCAGUGAUUUCUAAUAUUCUCCAAUGCAUGCAGAACAACAAUUCAAAGAAGGUUGUGGCUUCAACAAUUCGUUUACCAUCUCAUAUGUACAAACCAAUAAAAUGUCAUUUGUUGCAUCAGACUUUCAUUCCAAAAAUACUAUUUAUGUUGCUUAUUUUAUGCAUGUAUAAUAAAUUUCGAGUGUGAUUGUUACUGUUUGUAUCUAAGUUCGCAUUAUUAAUGUAUGUUUAUUUGCACCAAGAAAUGAGAAAUGCUUAUGUAAAAAUAAAUGAAUAAGAUUAAACAAGAAAAACUUUACGCUACUCAAACUUGCAAACACUCAAACUACAAGCAUUAUGAAUAAACACGGAAUCAGGCUACGCAAUUGCCUUCAUCAUAACAUGAUUUUGGCCCCCAUUUUAUAAUUUCCUACCACAUUUUCACAUUCUUUCCAUGAAUUUUAUAAUCAUAUGCAAAAGAGUUCAAUCUAGGGGCUCCAAAAAUAUCACAGACAGAACAAUUAACACAAAUCGAAUAAAAAUUUGAAAUCAUGAAUCGAUCCCAAAACUGAAAGUUGAAAUUUUUGAAAAGAACUUACAUUGGAGGACAGCCCACCGGGACAGGAUCAUUUAUACCUCUUGGGUCGAGAAUAUUGGCCGGAAAACCGCGGUGACCGUUUCUUUGAUAUGAAAUUGAGGAAAUUUGGCUACGGAUCUGUAGAAACUAACUUGGGAGUUGGAAAGAGGAUGGAAAGAGGAGUCUGGAUAUGUAAUUUGACGGCCGUUGGUGACCCGUGGGCGAAAAUAAACUUCAUGCGAAAACAAGACCAGAUUGAGGUAAGAAAGAAAAAUACAUACGCAGAAAUAACAUGUCAGUCAGGCAAGACAAGUAAUUGCAACCAUAACACAACACAAUGAAGAAACAUACCAUGAGGAUUUUGAACAAACAUAAUGAAGUGUAACCAACAGCAUACAAAUAUCAAAAAUAUAGAAAAGAAUGCUAUACAAUCACUAUAAGUGAUUUCAAAGGCCAUCUUCUAUUUCUGUUUCUGGAAAAAAGUCAUGUCGUCAAGAUGUCAUUCCAUUUCCUUACCAUGAUGAGUAACAUGAUAUUUGAACUUGCUUGCAUUCAGAGAUCAAACAUGGUGGGGUUAUAGAGCAGGUGGAGAUGUUUUUUCUCUAUCCUCAAUCAAAAUAUCAAUGUCUCCCUCCUCCCUCGAUCACUGUCUUUAUUUGUGUGUCAGUUUCAAGCAAUGGCUUUGCUGAACGAGAGAGGGAGAGGGGAAGGAGUUCCCAAGCAAAUUAUGAGGAGGGUGGUGGGGGCAGACUGCUCCGAUCACAGAUAUAUUUCAAGGAUCACAAUUAAAGACUUGCAAUCUUUUAUGGCUGCCAGUUGUGGGACACUCGCAGUCAGACACACACAGAUGGAGAUUGUAAAAGACUUUGAAUUAGAAUUAGUAAAUUUGUGUGUGUAGGGGUGGCUCUGUAUGGGGUUCCAAACUGAAAAUGGAAUUUCGAAUCCCAAAUCGAAAAUUUUCAAAACGAGAAUUUGAAAACCAAUCUUGAAUCAAAAUUUCGGUAUUCCUAAUUUUCGGGAUUCACAAAAUGUUUUCGAUAUCAGGAUGCGUCGGGAUUGAAUUUUGGGUUUUGGGCUGAAAUUUGAGUUCAUCAUAACAUGAUUUUGGCCCCAUUUUCUAAUUUCCUACCACAUUUUCACAUUCUUUCCAUGAAUUUUAUAAUACCUAUGCAAAAGAGUUCAUUCAUUGCCUAUUUCAAAACAAUACAAGGUUCUACAGAGUUCAAUCCCACAUCAUGUUAUAGACAUGCUUCAACUACAGAGUGCAAUACCAGAAGUCUCAUCUCCGACAUUCAUACAGAAUAUCGAAUAAAAAUUCGAAAUCAAAAAUCAAUCCCAAAACUGAAAGUUGAGAUUUUAGAAAAAUAACUUACAUUGGAGAACAGCCCACGAGAAGAGGAUCAUUUCUACCACUUGGGUCGAGCUCCAAUUCCGGCGAUAUGGCCGGAAGUUGGCCGGAAACCCUGGGUCACCGUUUCUUAAAUUUGAAGUUGAGGAAAUCGCCUACGAAUUUAUAGAAACCAACUUGGGGAUUGGAUAAAGGACGGCAAGAGCAUUCUGGAUGUGUAGUUUGAGAGCCUUUGGUGACACGUGGACGACAGAGCUCUUGCGCCGGCACUCGGCAGUCGUCGGCUUGCUGUUUAAUGGGCUCCUGUUGCGGCUCAAAAGACGAGGAGGAGAGAGGAUACGGGAGGAGGAGAGAAAAUGGGUUUCUCACACUUUUUACAUCUUAAUUCUUUUCCGUAUUUUUUUUUUAUAGAAUAUACGAUAUUAUCUAUCACCAAAAUUGAUUUUGGUAUGUGAGAUGAGGUGGAAUACGUUUUAAUGAUAAUUGUGGUUAGAAAUAAUAUAAUUUAAAUUUAUAUAUGAUAAUAAUUGAAUAUAAAAUUUCUUACUUACGAGUUAUAAAUAAAAAAAAAUACCAUUAAUUUUACUUUUAAUCUAAAUAAAAAGAAACAAAAUGAAAAGGAAAAGAAAUAAAAUAAUUUGAAAUAGAAAUGAAAAAUAAAGGUUAACUGACAGAGCCCACCAUGAUUUGCUGGAUUUUGCAAUAUGGCAUCCAUGAUUUGCAGAGCCCACCAUCGCAAAGAAGGAAAAUUUGGAAAGCUCAAUCCUUGUCUUUUUCUUAUGUAAGUGUCGUUUUAGUGAACCGAAUGUUCCGAUUCCAACAUCCAAAAUACCGCAAUGUGAAUUUUUUUCAUACUACAAUUGGAUUGUAUCUUAAAAUUAUGAAGUUUUGGAGCAUUGGUCACGCCAUCAAGCUCCUUUGUGUUGGAUUUCGUUAGAGAUCGUAAUUAAUCCAUUUCCUUUUUUGUGUCUCCCUCCAAAACCUUAAAUUGAAACAUGAACUCCCUAGCAAAUAAGAGCCCAAUUUGACAACCAAAAUCUUCAUCGUUCGAGCAUCAAUGUUCUCUUAAAUUCGCUGCGAGCAAACCACCAUGAAAUCUCCUUCAUGUGCAUCUCAUAAAAUUAGAACAAUGCAGGGAAGAUUAGUGUGGCUCCUAAGCUAGGAUUACACUUAUGAAUCGCAAAAUAAUUCCUCCUCCACUCUUUGAUUCUCUCUUUCACUGGCUAACAAUAUUUUACUCUACCGUUUCACCCCUAAGUAAGAAAUAGCAUCUUUUUGAAAAUUUCACAUUUGACCUUAAUUUAUCUCUUUUGCACUAUUUGACUGAACGACAAAUUUUGAUUGUCUAAAUAUUUAUAUCAAACUACAAAUAAUAUUGAUAUUAUAUAUUAAUAACGUAACUGGAAUUGUAGUACCCAACAUAUCUAUCUUGAAAUAAAUUUUGUUGUCUAUGAAGCGGCCUACUCGACUCUCUCUUGUACUCUUUAGUCCAGUCCAUUUUGAGUUUGUGUAAAUAGAUCAUUGUUUAACAAUUGACAUUCAAUAUUGUGAUUUAGUGGUAUUCAUCAUCACUUGUAAGUGAGAGAUAUUAGGUUUGAAUCUUGGAGUGACGAGUUUGUGUAAUCAUUGUAUUAAAGAAAAAAAAUAUUUUUGGUCGGACAAAAACACAAAAAUGCCCUUAAAGCCCAAAGUGCCCCCACUACCCUAUCACUGCCUGCAAGUUCUUUCCUCGCCUUUGUUUCCCUCCCUUUCUCCCUCUCAGACAUUUGAGGACUCAAAAACUCUUUUAACUCUCUUCUUCUCACUCUCAAAUGUCACCCUUUCUCAAUCAUACGCACGCCCAGUGAUCUCUGAAGCACCAAUUUCUCUUCCCUUUGGCUCUCUGCAUCUCACCAGAGGUAAAAAGCCCCUGGUUUUUUUAUAUUUUUUAUUUUAUUUUAUUUUUAUACUUUUUCCUCAGUAAAUUUAAUCCAAUGGAUUUUUCGUGUACCCUUGCAGUAAUACAGGAAGAUUUUGUAGUAUUUCUGGUUGUUGGAUGAUACUGGAAUAAUUAUUGGGAUUUUGAAGAAUUUCUGGUUCGUAUGAUAUAUUUGCUAAAAGACCCAAAAUUUUGAAGCAGAGCGGCCAUGGAAAGGUGUUUGAAAAGAAAAUCAUAUGAUGAGUCAAUGGAGUCGUCAUCGUCUCCGAAGGAGAAUGACAAAAGCUCGAAACAAGCUUGCGUCGAAAUCAACUUGGAAGGUCUUCCUGUUGAUGCCUUGCUGCGCACUCGAAUUUGGGAUUAGCAUCCAAAUGUUCGAGUUCGAGAGCAAGUUCGAGGAGUAUAUAUGCAAAAAGGUCAUUUUCAGACUCCAGACCAGGACUUCCCCCACAAGAAUACUAGUGGGGGACCGAGAAGGUUUAUAUCUGCUUGGUUUAUGAGUUUCUGACUGGUUGGAAGAUAGUAUAGCGAAAGAUGCUUCAUGUUGUCUAUGCUGUUAUCUGUUUAAGCUAAAUACAGGAGAGCAAGCCUGCGGUGAUUGCUUUGUUAGUAAAGGGUUUUGAAAUUGGAAGAAGGAAAGGUUGGAGGGUCAUGUUGGAGGACGGAAUAGCGCCCUCAACCAAGCUUGGAGAACCUAUGAUGCUUUAUUAAAGCAACACCAAGCACGAAAGGAAUGUAAAACUAUAUUAGGUGUAUCAAUUGUUUGUAUGAGGUUUCUCUUGCAUCAAGGGCUUAUAUAUUGCGGAGACGAUGAAUAUGAAGGUUCAAAUGAUGAAGGAGUUUUUCCUGGACUCUGGAAUUUCCAAUGUGGUCGCCACGAAGAGUUAAAAGCUGUCACAUUGAGAAAUCAUCCUUUAGGUCUGAAGUUGGCUUCACUUGAUACUCAGAAGGACAUCAUAAUUGUUUUUUCAAUGGAAAUAUCAAUGCAAUCGUUAAAGAUAUUGGUAGUUCGCACUUUUCCAAUCUUAUCGAUGAGCGUCAUGACUUGUUUUCAAUGAAGCAAUUGGCCAUUGUAAUACGUUUUGUGGAUAAAGGUCAAGUGAUUGAGCAUUUUUUUAUGCAUUGUGCAAGCCACUGAUAAUACUGCUGACUCACUUAAGGUGGCUAUUGAUGAUUUCUUUUCUACCCAUGGAUUAAGCAUGUCAAAGCUAGGGGACAAGUAAUAUGCUUGGUGAGUUGAAUAGUAUUAACUAUUAAGACAAUUAUAAUGAAGGAGAAUGAGUGUGCAUUUUACGUUCGUUACUUUGCUCACGGCAGCGAGAGACACGAAUUUCGCUUUAUUUACGAGCUUGCCACCGGGCUGAUUUCAGCCCAAAUUUUGCUUUAUUUACAAGAUUGCCAUUGGGCUUAAGAACGGGUUUCCAGUCUUUCGGUUGGAUCCGGGCUUUGACUUGGGGAGAGAGAGGGAAUGGGGGCAGAAGGGUUGACGCCGGGUUGGAUGGAGAGGUUCGCCAGGAUUUGGGGGAGAGGAUUUUCGGCAUGGAGGUGCGGGUGGGUGUGCCUGUGGCUGAUGCAUCGGUCAGAGGGUUGUUGGGGAGGAGAGGAGGGGCACAGAGUGAUUGACAGAUUGGAGAGAGAUGGGAGCUACGAGUUUCGACUAAAAGAGAGAGAUUUAGUUAGGUCCUCUGCCAGGACCUAUGACAUUUUCUCCAAUUUUAGAGAGAGAGAGAGAGAGGAGAAAGCAUGGCUGUGUCCAUUUUUUGGGGUUAAUGGGUUACCGCACAGGGUCGGUGAGGAGAGAAUGGCAGAGGGAGGUAUGGGAGGGAAUGUUGUAAUCCCCUUUUCUUCCCUCUUUUUCUCUCCCGACUCUAUCUCUGUAACCAUCCCUCCCUUUUCUCACUCUAUAAUUUCCCUCAAAUCCCCCGCCGAUUCUCUCUCUCGCCAUUCUCAGUCUCGACAGCCGCGAAUCCUUACAGCUCCAUGCUCCGCCUCCAGAUUCGUCGAGAUGAGAGCCCCAAGACCGUCGCCUGCACCACCGUCUCAGAAAAGUAAGCCAAAAUCUCGCGAGAAUCAGGCUGCACACGAGCGGAUCCAAAGGCCAAACCCGAUCUUGAAGUCGACACAUCCAGAGGUAAAAAUUUCUCAUCUUCGAUUUCAUAUAUGUUGUUAGAUUAAAAGGGAAAAUAUGAGAACUAACUCAAGCAAAUGUUCUGGAUGUAAGCUAAAAGAUCAAUUUAACUUUUCUUCCCUGUCAAUUUAGUGCUUUUUUCUUUUCUUAUUACUUUUAGGAGUUAAUUUUGGAGAUAUAUUAUUACUAACAAAUUUAAUGUUGCCUCUGUCAUAUUUUUUGCUGAAGAUUUCUUUUUUGAAAACCGUAUGCCAUGACAAAAUAAAUUUACAAAUUGCUAAUUUUUCUGUUUUGUAUAAAAAAAUCUUUGUUCACUCUACCUGAAUAGGUACACUUGACUGAGAAGGAAAGUCUUUUCAUAUUAAAUCCAUGUUAGCCUGACUGCUGCCACCCUGGAACCAUCGCUCUUCGGUAAGUUUUCAACACAAUAUAGUUCAAAUCCUCUUAACCAUGUUCUUGAAUUUUACUAUAUGUAUCAUGUUCUUUGCAUUUCAUUAUCUGAACUCUGUUAUUUGAAUUUGGUUACCUGAAUCGUGCGGCCAGUGGCUUUGUAUGGCUAACUGGUGUGAUUUGGGAGUGUUUUUAGUCAAUGGGAGACAGGGGACAAAUGUGUGGACAGCGAAGUCAAGUGGGAUUAGGAAUUUAGGAUAGUAGAAUUUUUGCUAAUUUAUGGGAUUAGAAGUCUUCCUUUAUUUUUGUCUUGGUGUGAUCAAUUGUAACAAAGAAUUUUCAUUAAAAUUGAGGUAGUGAACCAACGAAUUUUCAACUUUUGUUUAUCUACAGUCGUCUCCAUUGUCUUGGUAUUGGACCAAGCAUGAAAUCCCAAGCACUAUAUCACCACAAAGCAAGCAAGCUGAAAAGCAAUCCAACAAACCCUUUUUCCAGAAACACUUAACAGAACCUUUCUAUGGGUUAAUUGUUGUUUCAAUUAUACCAGAUUGAAAACGAGUAUGGAACCAUUGAUCAAGCAUACGGGGCUGUUGUCCAAACCUAUAUUAAGUGGGGAGCAAGCAUGACUGUUUGUCUUUAAAUACAGGGUGCCCUGGGUCAAGUGGCAACAAAAAGAUGCUCAUGCAUCCGUAAUGAGGCUUUUGUAGUCAGUUUUCAUUUGCAUUGUAUUGACUUUGACCUUUUUUAUCAAAGUCCAAUAGCAAUAGGUGCAGUAAUUCUCAAACCCUAAUUUGUUAGCCAACAUCCCAAGCCCCGUUACAACCUUUGACUUCAAUUUUGAGUGUUAUGUGUCUCAAUUUGUGGAGUUUGAAUUUGGUAUGAGCAUAUGGUGUCACUGGUUCUCGCGUCUAAGUAGUAGCAUUCCAUUCAUGAGAUCAUAUCUAAACAUGCUUAUUAACUCCAGAAAUUGCUUUCUUGGUAAUACAUAUAUGUGAGCAUUCGUUUUCAUAUCUACAUCAAUCUUCUCACAUAUAACUAGCAUAGGGUGUGUGGUUAGAAAAUCUGAGUGAAAAUUGAGUGCAUAUCUUGUAAGGAAUUGAGCGAAUUCUCUAAGGCAUGUUCUUACAUUCAAAACAUUGUUUUAAUUGAUUAAUGUGAACAAGUAAGUAGUGACUAUGAUUAAGUAUGUGCUUAAGUGUAGAGAUGACUCAAAUCUGUGGGGAUGAUGAUCUUUAACAUGUCAUGUGCUUUGGAAAUCCCUGAGGCAAAUGUUGGAAGGUUUAGGUUGUGUUUUAUUUGUUUUGUUUUGUUUUAUUUCUUUGUUUUGCUCGAGGACUAGCAAAAGCUAAGUGUGGGGGAAUUUGAUAGGAGCAUAUUUAUGCGACUUAAUUGGCUUGUUCUCGUGCAUUUACGUUAUGUUUCCUUAGUUAUUUUAGUGUUUAAAGUCACUUUUGUGUGUUUUCAGAUUCCAAAGCCAAAGUGUGCAAAAUGAUGUAAUUUGGAGCCUUUUGGAGCAAAAGGAAUGGAUGAAUGGAAGACUUGAAGACAUUAGGAUUCCUAAUUGACGAAGGAUUCCUAAUUGAAGAAGGAUUCCUAAUUGAAGAUGGAUUCCUAAUCACAUGAGGAUUCCUACUUGAAGUAGGAAAGUUAAGCCAAGGUUUCCUACUUUGGUUUGAUUUUUCCUAAAUGUCCCUAAAAGUUCCAGCCACUUUGAAGACCUCAUACACACUUUAGGACAUAAAACAAAGAUUCCUUGCACCAUUCAAGGUAGUGCCGCACCUCACAUACCCUUUCCACACUUUCCCUAACCCUUAUCUUCCUUGCCGUGCAAAAGAAAGCCCACCUUCCCUAUUUCCUUGCAUUUAAACCACAUUCCCUUUUAGUUUAAGGAGUGCCGCAUAUUUCCUUGCCUUUCCCUUAGUUUUUGACCUUGUUUUCCUUUUCCCUCUAGGUUGUGACUUAAAUAUUUGUUACUUAAAAUAUUUCCUAGCCUAAAACAUUCUAAACUUUCUGAAUAAAUACCCUAGCCGCACCUCUAGUCAAUUUCCCUUAAGUUUCUGAUUUUUGUUUCCUAAUUCUAGAAGCUUUAAACUUAAUUCCUGAUUACCUAAUUAGCCUAGGGUUUUUAAUGUCCUAAUCCCUUUAAAUAAACAUCCUUGUGCAGCCACAAACAGCCCCAUUCAUCCAGAAACUCAUCAUUCACGCCAGAAACUGAACUCCAUCUUCAACAGCCCCAUUCCUUCACCAUUCACCAUAUUUUCUGACCCAAAACCACCCUAGCCGCACCACCCAUCAACCCUAAACACUUCCAUACGUCCCCCAUCCAUUCUACAUCAUUCAAUAACCCAAGAAACCACCAACAUCCAAUCUGCCGCAAGCAAGGAAAGGGGACAGAUUCACUCAAUUGUUUGGCUCUUCAUUCUGAGUUGUUGAACAAUUUUAGGUGUAUUCUAUCUUAUAUUUCAAUGUCUAAUUCAUGUAAUCUUUGUUUUGCUUUAAGUAUGAUUGGCUAAAUUCGUUUUGGCUAAGGGUGUAUUCAAAACCAUGAUUAUAUAUGUGAAAUAAGUUAAUUACUUUCAGUUAUCGUUGCAUAAGUCGUGAAUACAAUUUGCUUAACCGUUUGAUUUAGAACUUAUUCUUGUAUGUUGAUUGAAAGUGCACGCUUAAUUUGCAUGCUUGAAUUUGGUGCUAGGAUAUAAGUUUGUUUCACCUAAUCGUUAUGAAUUUAUAUUCGCAAGUAGUGAAGAUCGCUAGUCACGAUCGUAAGUAGAUUCCUGGCAAGAGUAUCAUGUUUUUCAUAGUUAUGAAUGCCUUGUCGAUGCUUAUGAUUUCCACAUAACGUAAUGAUUCUAACUUGUAUCUUUAUCAUGCUAUUCAUAUAGAGAACUUGUUAGGAAUAAUUUGUUUGCGAUGCAUAUUCAUCCAAUUCAAUGAUUCUAGGGAAAUCUGAAGGUUAAUUUAAGCGGACCUAAUUAACUUGGAGUGUCGAGGUUCACAACUUAUUAAAUUGAUAACUGGAAAUCGAUUUACGUUGCAUAUAUUUCAUGUGUGGAGAAGAACCCCUUAGCUAUUCCAUCAUCCAUUGAUUCAUCACAAUUUUGUCUUACAAUCUGUUUUCUUUUUCAAUCUGCCCAUUUAAUUAUUUUCGUCCAAAAUCAAUCCCACCUUAUUUCUUUGAGUCAUAUUAACUAGAACUUGUCUUAGAAUAUGUUUUUAGGUGUUUUAGGUCAUUAGAAAACCAAAAUUCGUCCAAUUUGUGUUAGAGUCCCAAAACUGCCUAGAAAGUGGUUUUUAGGCAGUUUUGAGUGUUUGUUUGCUGUUUUGAGUCUUUUGAUUUGUUUUAGUGUUUUAGAGUUUAGUUUUGCAUUCUUUGAGUCUAGUUUAGUAUUUUAAACUUUGUUUUACAUAUUUGAGUCAGUUUAGAGUGUUUUAGCAAUCCUUCCUAAUCCCCGGUUAAAAAAGUGAAGGUUGAAGGUGCUGUGGGUUGAGGAGCUGUUGAGGAAAUUGCUGUGGAGCGAGUUGAGAGAAAGCUUGAAGAAGGCUGUGGUGCAGGUGGACAUGAUUGAGGAAAUGGCAAGGAGAACUCAGGUGAUGGAGUGGAGGGGACAGAGGAAGAACACUGUGAAGAGCUACUGUGAUGAAGAAAUGGAAAAUGAUCUUCAUUAAAGAGAACAUGCCUUUGAAAUGUGGAGACUCUGUUAGAAGACACGUCCAAACACCGCCGAUAACCUUGUGUGUUGAAGGCUAUAACCGAGAAAGACACAUGGUUUGCUUUUACCAUCCAAUUUUUGAUGCAUAUGCUGAGCCUGAGCAAGCAGAUAGCAGCAAAAGCAACACCAAAAACCUUUAACUUGGAAUAAUCAUGAGGCUUUUUGAAAAAAGAAUUUCCCAUGGAGACUGAGACUGAUCCAAAAGAAAAUGAAAUUAAGAGGUAUCUGAUUGAUCUGAUUUGAUAAGAAAUACAAUGCAGUAAAAAAGGCUUCUACCCAAAACUUGUGAGGAACUUUGGAAGCAACAAGAAGUGUCCGAGCAGUUUCAGUAAGAUGUCUAUGCUUGCGUUCCACACACCCAUUUUGCUCAGGUGUGUGGGGACAACUGUAUUGAUGAGAAAUACCAUGUUGAAGCAAGAAUGAAGCAAAAGCAGAACCAGUGAACUUACCCCCUGAAUCUGUGCGAAGAAUCUUGAUUUUAUGGCCAAGUAAGUUUUCAACAUAUGCUUUGAAAAUGACAAAAGUAUAGAAGACUUCAGACUUGUGUUGUAAAGGAAACAUCCAACUGUAUUUGCUAUACUCAUCCACAAAGAGUACAUAGUACUUAUAGCCACUAAUUGAUGAAACUGGACAGGGACCCCAGACAUCACAAUGAAUUAAAUCCAAACUAUGGGAUACAGUGGUAGUACUAAAAGAAAAGGGCAGCUUAUGAUUUUUGCCAAUAGCACAGUCUGCACAAAAAAACUGAACAGAAGCUGAAGUAUGAGGAACAAGCUUAUUUGUAUGUAAAAUCCUUCGGAGAAUGGCUAUGGAAGGAUGACCGAGUCGUUUGUGCCAUUGUUGUAAAGAUGCUUGAGUGCUUACAAGUGCAGAAUAUGAAGCUUGGAAUGGCUGACCAUGCAGAGGAUGGAAACCAUCCCUAACUGGGCCUCGAAAAAGCAUCUUCCCAGUGGAACGGUCCUUGAUGACAGAACCAUCAGAAUCAAGAGUUAAAGAGCAAUAAUUGUCUCUUAGAAACUGAUAUGCAGAGAGCAAAUUGAAUUGCAUCAUUGGCACAUGAAGAACAUUAUUUAAUCGAAAGGCAGCAUGUGGUGUUUGGAGAAUAGAAGAACCUGUAUGGUGGAUGGGCAUACCUUGGCCAUCACCAGCAUAAACCUUGUCGUCACCAGAGUACAGAAUGGGGGAAGUGAUAGCGGAGAUAUCAUUGGUAACAUGAGCAGUAGCACCAGAGUCCAGAAGCCAUGUAGGCUGAGAAGAAGAGGCAGUAGAAGCACACAUAGCAGCAAGCUUGGCAGGUGGAAUCUUUCCAGCAAAGGCAUGAUUCAUGCGAGCAUAGCAGUCAAGAGCCUCAUGAUCAAAAGAAUUGCAUAUUUGACAGGGAGACCGAGUUCCAGAAGACCGAUUAAAGCCACCAGAGUGGCGAUUAUAAUGACUAGUAUUAUGAUGAAAGGAACCAUUACCAGGGCCAGAGUUAGUAUAAUGUCCACGAUAGUUGCCUCGACCUCUGUUGUUCUUCUGAAAAUUGCUUCGGCCACGAUUAUUGCGCUGAAAAUUGUUGCGAUUGUUGUAGGUAGAAUAUGGAACAACAUAUGCCUGGGAGGGAGGAGGCGUAGGUAAGAGACCUUGCUGGAGAGGCAAAGCUUGAGCAGCAAAUGCUUGAAAUGGUUCAGUGAGAGACGACGAAUGAGCUUUCUUCUUGCGAUGCAUAAAGAUCUCUUUGUUCAUGAGUAAGCCGUGAAGUUCAUCUAAAGAAGUAGAUGAAAUGCAAAGCAUUAUCGAAUCAAUGAAAGAUUCGUAAUCAUCCGAGAGGUCAUUUAGUGUAACAACAAUGAGAUCUGGUUCCGACACCAGGGCUCCGGCAGCCAUAAGAGCAUCAGAGAUGCAUUUGAUACGCUGCAGAUAAUCAGAAAUUGACAAAUCACCUUUUUGAAUCGCAUGAAGACGCGAUCAGAGCUGGUGAAUGUGCGCCGCCGAGACUCCGCCAAACUGUUGUUCAAGAAUCUGCCAUAAUUCUCGAGAUGAGGUGACGCCAACGGUGAACGGAAUAAGAUCUUCAGAGAGAGUGGAAUUCAACCAGAUCAGGAUAUUUUGAUCCUUUUCAAACCAGAUCUCGUAAUCAGGAUUAGGAACAGCAGUACCAAUACCGUUUUGAUUGAGAAGAAAGGGCGAUGGACAUUUCUCCGAUCCAUCGAUGAUACCUGUAAGUUUGUAGCGCCGGAAAAUUGGAGCGAAAAGAGCUUUCCAGGCAAGAUAAUUGUCCUUCUUAAGCUUUGUAGGAACCAUACAACUGAUGUUUUGGAUUGGAAUUGAGGAAAUCGAAGAAUUAGGGUUUAUCGGAGCUGAAUUUGAGGAAAUGGGAGUAGGAUUCUGAGCGAAAACUUCUGGAUUUGCAGGCGAAGAGGUAGAAGACGCCAUUGUCGAUCAAGGAUUUGCAGAGAGAAAACGAAAUUGGGAAGAAAAAUCAAAGAUUGCAGAGGAAGCUAGGAUCGGUGCGUGAGCAGAGAGGCGAGUGAUACCAUAUUAGAAAUAACUCUGGUAUUUUCAUUUCUUAAUGAAUAAGGAAUUACAACUGGUUUAUAUACAUUUGUGAGAAAUAGUUUAGCGACUAAUUACCCUUGGUUAACUGACUAAUCUAGUGAUUAGUUACAUAGACAGUUGUAACAGACUUGUAACCAAAAUACAACAAACUAUAUAUGUGACUCUUUACUUAGCCCUUGGUUUAUAAAUCCCAACUUUAAAAUUCCAAGUAGAUGUGUCUGUUAAUCGAUUGCAUUUGGGAUGGAAAUGGUUUUGAAUGAUUUGGAUUUUCAUUAAUUUUAAUUCAUCUGCUAAUCAUAGUUUCAUGUAUUAGAUAGUUGCUUUGCUCUCACAAAUUUUGUUGGUAGGGGUUCAGCAAAGCUUUCUAGGGCUAAAUCUUCAGUUUGCUGUUGGGUAUGUUUACUUUAUGCUUUUGUUUUUUGUUUUUUGUUUUUUGUUUUUGUCUGGAGUAAAUAUGCUUAAGAUGUCACAUGAUUAAAGGUGGAGAAACCACCGUCCCUUUUUUCGUAGAAAUUUGUAAAUUUUUUUUAAAAUAUGUGUGGGUUGCUGAAACUAAUUAUUUGAUCAGUGUGAUUUUUUGUAAUUGAGAAUUUAGGACCUUGGUAACUUGAUUAAAUAGGAAUUUUGUGAUUAGGAAUUUGUGGGUUUACCUCCUAAUUUAAUCCCUUUCUUAAGAGGGAUCUGGUCGUAACACACAAUGGGGGGAAGAGAAGCGGCACCAGGUUCGGCGAUCAAUCUGAAGAGGAAGAGGUCAAUUUUGAGCACAAGUCCAAUCCCCGGCCCAAUUUUGUAUGAUCAUCUAAUUUCAUGUUUCCUUUCUAUUCUGAUUCCAAAAGUAUGUUUCGAAAUGAUUAGGGUUUCAGUUUUUGUUUUAAUCUUAGUUGAAGGAAGAUAUAGGGUGUGGUUUUGUUAAUGGCGGUGGAUGAUUUGGAUGAAAGUAUGUAUCCUCGGGAUUUUUUUGCUUGCAGUUGUUUAGGCCCGGACUGAAGAAGUUUUGUGGAAUGAGAUUCCUAUAUCGAAUUGUCUCUCUGUUUAUGGCAGGUAAUAAAGGUGUUCCAACCAGUAGCUGAUAAAAUGUCUUUAUGUAUAUGCUUUUGUUGAUUUCUGCUGCGAUAAUGAGGGAAUCCAGAGGAUUGAGGCCAGUUAAUCUGAGGUUUGUACUACUCUAUCCCUUUCUUUCUUUCUUUCUUUCUGUAAAUUUCUUGAAAUUGACGACGCACGUUCUGAUUCUUGCUGUGUUUGGGAGCGGAGAAAGCUCUGGAUUAGCUUUGAUCACUUGAAUUUUGUCUUAUUUAGUUCAGCACAGUCGGACUACAUAAUCCUACCAUUGGGCUAUUUCUAUAGAGGGUUUAUGUUGACUUUUGUUGGCCUGUUGACAGUCUGGUAGGUCUAUCAUAUUGAUGGAACUAAAUUGUGAGUUAGUUAUGGUUUAGAUUGUUGAAUUUUGAAUUUGCAAUUCCCUUUGAAACUGUCACAAGCGAUGUGUCUGUUGUGGCUACAGGAAUCAAAAGCGAGUGAAAGGUAAAGCUUUUCUCUCCAAGCAUUCAUUGCCAGAAAUUGUAGUACCUCUUUUAAAUUCAAUUUUUUAUUUAUUUGCAGAAUUGUAUUAUCCUUUUGAAGCAGUGGGGAGCCGCGGGUUCACUCACGCUUUCAAAUUUCUCUCUCUCUCUCUCUCUCCCCCCAUUGUAUUUGGGUUUUUCUCCUAUUUCUCUUUUUUGUUGAUCUAAUUUGUGGUGAAGUUGUUGAGUUUGCUUGAAUUGGAACGUGGGUUUAAUUGAGUUUCCUUUACGGCCACUUUGUGUCUGGCAAAGGUAAUAAUAUUACUCUUCAUUCCAUAAGCUUUAUUUUUAAUGCCCAUAAAAAUUUGGAACUGAGAACAUGAUGGGGUUUUAGGCAAUACCCAAGUUCUAUAAUUUUCCCCGCUUGUUUUUAUUAGUAAUUUCUUCAAUCAUGUUAGUUUGAUAGUGUUUUGCUGCCCAGAAUUUUUUUGAAUUUAAAAUAUCAUGGGAUUGGGGUUUUAAGAUUUUAACAACAAUUGAUAUGAAUUUUGGUGAAUUUUGAUGCUCAAUGGACUUUGUUAACGGCUUCUAACUUUGUUAUGCUUUGGAAUAUUGGUGGGUUUUCAUCAAAUUUUGCUUAUAUCUUUGUGCGGUGUGUCUGUUGUAUUAUCUGGUCAUAGAUACCUUCGUUCAGUAAUUUGAGAAGCAUGGGGAGAUAAUAGACUAAUCAAAGAGAUGCAUGUGAUCAACGAUAAAUAGGUAAGCAUCAUCCUUUUCCUUCUUUUGUUAUGAUUGGUUGUAUAGAGGAUUGAGAAAAAAGUUGAAGACAAUUCCAUGCUUUUGAGUUAUAGCAAUUAGUAAAUAUAAAGUUCAUUGAAGUUUUGAAUCCUUCGUUAGUUUAUUUAUGGUGCGUGCUUGAGAAUGAAAGCAAUGGACAUUAUAUGGAAUUGAUGUUCCUUUUAAUGUCAGUAAAGAAAGGAAUUGUUCCUUUAUUAGCAAUUAUAUGAAGUAGGCAUAUUAUGCAAUACAAUGUCUACAAUCGACUAUUUUACUUUUUGUAUACAAGUACAAACUUUUGAUCGAAAGCCACAAAAACUACCUAAAGGCCAAAGAACUGUGUGUGUUAGAAGAACAAAAUAUGGUGUAAAGCUUAAAUUUUGGGCACUUAAAUAUAUGUUUUAUUUUUCAAUUACAAUAACUUGCAUGAAAAUUCAAUUGGGUUUGUUCUGGUCUCCAAGAAUUUUGCUUUGUUUGGUUACUGAUUAAUUUAUGUGGUGGGAGUUUAGUUUUUGCAUUUCUGCCUAUGUAUAUAUGAUUCGAAAUGGACUGUUCAAUUAUAUAUUUGUAAUCGAAAAGCUCGAAGGAGAGGUGAAUUAUAUUACCGACACCGUUCAUUUAUCUAUCCCUUUGCUCAUUCAUGAUUAUGUAGAAUUUUUUUCCAGGUUAAAUGUGUCAUAUUCAUGUAGUUAAGGCUGAUGCAUUUAAGUCCCGCAGUAUCGCGUGGGCCAAUUUACUAGUGUAAACGAAAAUCGAAAUCAAAACACGGAGAUUUUUACGGUUUUAAAACGACUUCGGUUUGAAUCUGAACUGUAGCAUGAAAAAACAGGUUGGUUUUGCUUUUGAACAUCUGAAAUCAAGCCGAAACUGAAUCACAUUGCCAAAAUACCUGAACGAAAAGGCAUAGAGUACGUUCCGCAUAAUGCCCAAAACCAAAAGCCGCAAGGGUGACGCCGAACCUCCGCUCUGUGUAUGAUAGCAUGCCCACCGGACCUGAUGCUCCGCCGCAGCAUGUAAAUCUUGGAUGAGUGGUACACCAACAUUACAAUGCAGUGGUUUAUAUGAUGACGAUCCCAACUGUUAGGUACUCAAGCCCAAGGGAAGAGCCCAACCCAAAAGACUAGUCCAAUAGGUGGGAGGACCCCAAGGACUUAAGAACCCCUACACCCCCAUAAGUGUAGUCGAUGUGGGAUCAUAACAUUACACCACCCUUCGGAAGCCGACGCCCACGGCGGCCCUUACUCUGAUGGCUUUCACUCUUAACGGCAGUGCACCCUUUGGUCAUCCCGUUAAGGUAGCCCUUUCCAGGUCACCCCCUCCGCAGCGUCGGGAACCUAGGCUCUGAUACCAAUGUUAGGUACUCAAGCCCAAGGGAAGAGCCCAACCCAAAAGACUAGUCCAAUAGGUGGGAGGACACCAAGGACUUAAGAACCCCUACACCCCAUAAGUGUAGUCGAUGUGGGAUCAUAACACCAACAUUUCAAAUUCAUUUUCUUAAUCCUUCUUCAGGUUUGUCCACACAACAAAUUGGUGGCAUAUUCAGAAGACACCAAAGGAAAUGAAAUCUAUACAGUUUGUGUCGUUGAUGCCGAGACAGGUGCUCAUGUGGGUCUGCCUCUAGUUGUUACAACAUCCUAGUUUGCAAAUGGUUUGAAACCGAAAUUAAAACCGUUUGAAACCGAACUAAAUCGCAACCAAAUGGUUUGGUUUUAUCUUGAUUCGUUCAAGCUUCAAAUUCACACCGAACCGAACUGGCAAAAAAUUCAGUUUCACUUUAAAACCGCACAUAACCAAACCGUGUCCAUCCGUGGUCUGCAUUGGAGGAAAACUGGGGAAAACCUCCCGGUAACCUCAACUCUGAUGGAGGAAAUGUAUUGGAGAUUGAAGAUUGUGAAUUCUUGUUUUUGUUUUUCUCCAUAAGAUUUCCAUACAAAAUUUCUAUACGAUUUUUGCCUUCUCUUGUAAUUUCAUUAUGACUACAUACUACAAAUUUUUGGUGACCCUCCGACAGCCACGGAAACGACAACCCACUUCUGAGAUCGGAAGCUAGCGUAUGGAGACGGCGUGUCGGAGAUUGUCUUGACGGUGGAUUCGAGCUGUGGCGUCGAAUAUUAUGUUUUUUGGUCAAAUAAUAAAUUUUGUUAAAUUAGUCAUCAAUGGGUGAUUAGCUAUCAAUAGGUUCGGACUCAUAACGUCAUGCAAAAGUUUAACAUUUUUCUACCAUUAUGAUAAAGUGGUUAAUCACACCGAUGAAUGAUUAGUCACAGACGAAUUAUUCUCUAUCAAUCAUACAAAGAUUUAAGGAUCUGUUUGGUAUCUUAUUUGAAAAUUUUAUUAUUUCUCAAAACAUUUCUUAAGAACAUUUCUUGAAAACAAUUUUCUUUAAGACUCAAAAACUUGAUUGGUUUGCGAUUUAAAUUUUUUAAAUCUUAUGACUUAAACUAGAUAAAUAGAUCUAAAAAUAGGGGGUCGCAUGAGAGGAAGAAAAAGGAGAGAGAAUGAAAGAAAGUAAGAGAGGAGUGAAGGCAAGAGAAAGAAGAGAGAGGAUUGGACGAGAUAACGAGGAAGAUGAGUGAGAGAAAGAACCAAGAAAAUAAAAGGAGCUGAUUGGAGGAGAGACGAAAAAGGUUACAAAAAAAAAGGAGAAAGAAAGAAGAAAAGAGAGAGAGAUAGGUUUGAAGUGAGAGAGGAGAAGGAAGAGAAAAAAAAUGAGUGAGUUUAAGUUUAAAAACUCUAAAAACUCACUUUUUAUGUUUUUAGAUAAUAUACUAUAUUUUUUAGUUAGUAUUGAAUUCAGUUUUUAAAAAUAGUCUUACAAAACAAGUUUUUAAGGCAUAAAACUUAAAAAUUAUUUUUGAGUUUAAAAAAUUAAAUUCAAAUAGAGUACCAUAACAUUUUUUUACUAUUUGUGAUAAAGAAGCACUUGCUACCCAUGCGAGCUGGUUGGAUAUAUACAAAAGGGUCCUUUCAGCCUUGGUGCCACUGCCAGACAGAAAACAUGGAAAGUAAAGAAGAGAAAAAAAAAAAUAAAGCAAAAGAAGGUGAUGGUGGAAUUGCAGAAAGAAAUGAAGGAAAAGGAAAGGGGGAGUCCACGUGAAGAAAAGGCAGAAGAAAGACGAAAGAAAACAAAGAGAAAACAAAGAGAAAAAAAAGAUGAAUGAGGAUUUUCGUAGAAUUCUCCUCGUAAAGAUUCUAAAGAUUCUUUAAUCAUAUCCAUUUAUCGUAUAUAUGUUAAAAAUUAUUUUAAUUAUUUUUAUUUAAAAUUAAAUAUAAACAAUACCAAAUAAAAAUUAAUCGUGCGAUAUAUUAUAAACGAAUAUAAUUAAAGAAGUAUCAAAAUUCUUUAAAAAAAAAUCCGACCACGAUCUUCUUUCAAAGUAAAAGUUGAGACAGAAAAGAAAAAGAAAGAGGUUAAAGAAAGAGAAAAAAAAAAAUGGUGGUGCCUGGCAUACAAUACAGAAGUAAAAAAGUGAUGAGAUUGUGGCAGACAAAUAAAAAAAUGUGAAGAAAAAGUGGAAGAAAAUAAAAAAAGGGGUGGAAUGAAAAAGUGAGGUGUGUGGCCAGUGGCCACGUGAAGAAAAGAAAAAGAAAAGAAAAAGAAAAGAAAAAGAAAAGAAAGUGGUGGCAACCACAUGUGAAAUGGCAUGUACCAUCAUGUUAGCAGAUCUAAUAAAGGUCGCCUUUUAUCAUGGUAAUAUAAAAGUUGCGCAUCUUUGCAUUCUUACGUGAAUUCGAGUUUUUUUUGUUUCUAAAAGAUUGUGUGUUCUUAUAUUUCAGCGUGAGUUCGAAAAACCAACAAAAUCAUGAAGGGAAUGAAAACAAGUAUGAAUUCCAUUAGAACCAUCCUCUGAGUGAUCUUCCUUGUCAAAAUUCCCACACGCCAUUAACUUAAUCAUUAACUUAGCAUAUGUAAAGAAGAGCUCAAAAAGUGGUUGAUUCUUUACUCACUCAGGUUUUUUUUCUGUAUGUGACAAACAUCAGAUUAAAGUUCCUAACAUGAAUGACAUCUUUCAAACUAUAGGGAUAAAAUAACUUCAGCGGGGACUUGUAUGCAUCAUUAUCACGUUGAAAUGUUUUGUAAUGUUAUUGAUAUGCAACUUCAAGAGCUAAAUAUUCGUUUUGCUGAGACGAAUAUUGAGUUGCUUCUUUGUGUGAAUCCAGGUGAUAUUCGUUCUCUGCUUUUGACAAACAAAAGUUGAUUCGGCUUGCUCAGUAUACCUGAAUGGCUUUUCGGCACUUGACUUGAUGAUAUUGUUUUUUUAAGGAGCUUUUUGACACUUGACGAUACUUGAAAAUCAGCUUAAGAUGCACAUUAUGGACAUGCGCUCCAGCAUUGAGUUUUUAGGAUUGAAUGGGAUUGCGAAUCUUGCACAAAAAAUGGUUGAGACAAAAUAAGAAACUGUUUACCCAUUAGUUUACUUGAUGUUGACAUUGGCACUCAUGUUACUAGUUGCAUCUCCCAGUGUAGAGGGCGUUUUGUGCUAUGAGGAUUGUGAAGAAUUGAUUACUCAAUCAAAUGGAAGAUCAAGGGACAGAUGAUUGUUGAAUUGCCUAUAUUGAGAAAGACAUUCUCGAUGAUAUCAAACAUGAAGUUAUUAAGCAACGAUUUCAAAAUAUGAAAACUCAUCCAUGGCAAAUAUUAUUGUAACUAAUGGAUAUAUUAUCAAAUAAUGCUGAUUUGUUGUCGUAGAAUGGGCUUCAGUUUUAUUUUUCCUUAUUUAGUUAAAAUAUUGUUAGUAUAGAUAUGUCUUUGCAUCCCAUCCCUUUAAUUUUAACAGGUUCGAUGAUGACCGCUUGCUCAAGAAAAAUGACUGCAGAACAUUAGAGUUACAGGUUAGUGUCGAGAAGUAAUGUACUUGAAUGGAUGACCAUAGGUUGCAUUUUGCAGUUAGUAUUUGGCAUUAUAUGUCGUUUUGUAUCGGAAAAUUAUAGAGCUAUACAGUUGAAUUGAAUUACAAUUGAAUUGAAGGAGAAUGAGUGUGCGUUUUACGUUGAUUAGUUUGCUCACAAUCUUCAUUCUACACUUGUAGAGAUGGCAAAUGAUCAUUCUGAAAUCUAUUGUCUCUUUACUUCAGUUGCUAAUUUGGCAAAAUGAUGCACCAAGCUAAAGUUUGAAACUAAACUGAACUGAAUCCUUUUGGUUAUCUAAUUUACACUGAAAUGAUGCACCAAACCAAAAUGUGUAUUCUAAUUGGUGAGGUAACAUAAUAUGUCCUUAUUUCCAAAAAAAAAACAUAAUAUGUCCUUGUCCUUGAUAGCAUUCAACAUUCAAAUUCUCUAACAAGUUUGUGACAACCCGUUCCAACUUUAUCAAAUUUUAAUUUUGAAAGUGAGAAUUGACUAAAAUGCCUCUGUUGGGUUCAGCUGAUACGUGGACGUUUGAGCCAGUGCUUAAUUUGUCUCAUUUCGUAGUAUAUCGAGAUAGUACUCAUCGUUACUAACGUGUGAGCGCUAACUAGACCCAAAUUAGAUUUGUAACAAAGAAACUACACUUGUUAAUAAACGGGUAAAUAUGUACACAAAAUUGUGUGAAAUUCACAGAGUGUGCAUGUGAGAAACUGUAACCAUUAUCCUUUCCGAAUCCUUAUUUGCGUAUUGCGGAAAAUAUCAAUUCAUCAUAAUCGUUCACUACACAUAUAAAUGAUUUUAAAUAUUUUAUUCUUUUUCCAGCUUGCACGCACAAAUAACGGGCCCCAUUCUUUUUUCGUCACUUUGUAUCAGAUGCUUUAUCCAUCUAAAAUGGAUCAUUAUUGAUUGAAUGAUAACAACCACCACUCUUACAUCACACAGUACAUAAAGACUUCAUUAUUUAUUUAAAGUAUCUGUUAGCUUUUAAAAAUUUGUCAUGUUGUGAGAUUUUUCUUCCGUUAAAUCACGCUUUUGUUUCGUGUGAGAAUGUGAAAAGUUUGUCUAUUUGUAUGAUUUAAAUAUGUGAGAUAGGUGUGUGUUUCUGAUGCUUUUAGCUGAGAUUAAUAUCAUAUGUAAUGUCAAAUUGGAUGUUGCGUAUAGGGAUGGGCAACGGUUAUGACAGGCAGAUAACCGCAGUUAUUUACCCAUAACUAUUUUUGCUCAUACCCGCAUAACCGUUUAUCCGUUGGGUAAUUGCCUAAACGGUUAUACCCAUACCCAUAAACAUUUAUAAAUGGUUAACCAUACCCAUAACUGCAUACCUAUUUAACCGUAACCGUUUAAUACCCAUUUACCCAUUUACCAUUUUUAACCCGUUUGUCUUUUUUUUUACCAUCAUCCAUUUUUCACCCGUUUACAUGUUUUUUAACAACUUGAAAUUUUAAAAAAAAAUGUCAUAAUUUUUUUUUUUGACAAUUAAACACCGUUAUAGGUACAUUCAUCAUACAUUUCCGUAUUUUAAUUUUUUAAGUCCUUAUACCAUUCCAAUAAUUGAAAUAAUAAUUUACGGAUGAUAUUUUUAACUGUUACCAAUGAAAGUAAAUAUAAUAUUUGCCAAGUAUUAUUGGGUUACAAAAAUUGUUUAGAAGACAUUUCUGUCAAAGCAUUUAUGUCAAUUUCACGGUUACCCACAAAUAAUUUAAAUUAAUUUGGAGAAUUCCUUGAUGAUGAGAAUCAUCAUUCCUGUAGCAGUGUUAUUGAUAAAAAGACCGAUGAAUUCCUUGCUAAUUUAUUGGGUGCUAAGUAUUAUUGGAUCAAGAACUUGGUUUGUGUUAGUUUUACAUAUAUAAAAUAAAUGGGUAAACGGUUACCGGUUUAUAACCACGGUUAAUACCCAUAACCGUCCAUUUAAAUUUCGCGGGUAAACGGUUAUACCCAUAACCGUUUAUUAUCUAAACGGUUAGUCAUAACCAUAAUCGUUUAAUUUAAAUGGGCGGGUAACCACGGUUACCCUUAACCAAUGGGUAUUUGCUCAUUCCUAGUUGUGUAUAAUUAAAUUAGUGUAAAAUAUCACUUUAUGAGUGAGUCACGAGAGCAAAUCCCAUGCGAGAAUGUGUGCGUUGAAUGUAUUGAGUUAUGCAAAGAGUAAAAUUGUAGCAGUUGCAUUGUUAAUUUGAUGCAUUUACUUAUGUAGUUUUAAUUUUGGCUAAAAAACAUUAUUUUAAAGGAUAAAAAUUAGUAAAGAUGUGUUAAAAGUAAAAAUAAAUGCGUUGAUAGUAUCACUAUUUUAAAAUUGUUCAUUCAAUUUGCAUGACUAACAAUCUCAAAAUGAAUAAAUUUACCUUACUUUUGGGCUUGUUUCUUUACUUUACUUUUGAAAAUGACUGCAACUUUACUUUAGUGUGCUUUUAACAAACUAUAGUUUAAUUUGUUUUAUCUUUAAUAAGAUUAGUUGUUUGACCGAAAACAAAAGAAUAACUUUUUUUUUGAGAUAUUUUUACACAAUGAUAAAAAAAUAUGCAACUCUAAUUGCGAUGCUUCUACCGUGAAAUGAUAUAAAAUUGUAAUGCCACGAGAGAGUGAGGAUGGCUCGAGACAUGUAUUGUCGUUUGAAAAUUUGGGGUUCGUAAGCAAUGCAUCCAUUUCUCUUUCACUUUUGUCUUUUUCUUGUUAAAGAGAAUACAAAAUGACAAAACUAAUCUUGUUGGGUUUAAUGGAAUUUUGAGCCAAUGCUUAAUUCGUCUCAUUUCUUACCAUAUUUGGACCGUCAUGAAAGCAUAAAAAAAAAUGAACUUUAAUGAAAAGUUCUCAGUACUAUUCAUUUUAACGAAAAAUCAUAUUUUUACAUUAAAAAAUCAAUUCUGGUACUAUUUAUUUUACCCUUUAUUUUAUCCGUUAAAACUCAAAGUUUUCAAAACUUUUUAAUUAGUUUUUCAUAAAAAAACCUAGACCAAAAUCAAACUUAUAACGAUUUAAUGAUCGAUAACAAGCAAUAAAUUUGUACACUUGUGUAAAUUCGCACAUGUGUGCACGUAAGAAAGAGUCGGCAGACACUGUUGGAGAAAUUAUCUAUUGGCUUUUGAAAAUUUGUCCUGUUGUGCGAUUUUUCUUCCGUUAGAUCAGGCUUUUCCUUUACGGAAAGCCACCCACCCCACCAAUCAAUCACUCUGCUUUUUCUCCCUUUCUCUCAGGGUUUCUCCUCCCAGUAACAUCUCUCUCACUCGCUAAACCCUCUCUUUCUACCUCUCAAACUCUCCCGUCCUCUCUUUUCUUUGUAACGCAGCGAAAGUCACCAAACCUUGACGAAUCAACGCUCAAACCACCACCACAUCCCACCCUCUUGACCUCGCGAGUUCGAACCCGAGCUCCGUUUCGUAGGAAACAGAGACUAGAAGCUCUAGCUCGAAGCUCCGACGAGAAAGAAACUUCCCGACGAAGUUCCCGACACUUUUCCGACCACUCCACACCGUUUUGGAAGAGUUGGAAGCCACCACACAACUCCCUAACGUCCCUGGGUCAAGUUUGAGGCAAUCCCCAACUCGAAAACACACGGUUUCGAAGCUUUGGGUUUUUGGCCGAGACUUUCUGGCCAAUUUCAGUACAUUUACGUCUACUUUUUGGAGUUCCAAGAGGUAUAAACUUGUUCCUUGUGCUUCAUUUCCAUGUAAAGAGCGUAAAAUGGUUGAGAAAUGAGCAAGUUAUGACCUUUUGAAAUUCUCCCCAGUUUCCGUCGAUUUCAGGUUCCUUCCGUCCUGUUUUUGGCUAAAUCAUGGCGAGUUAGCCAUUGCUAUGGGUACCAAUCUGUUCAUCUCAUUCUGAGGUAUCAUUUCCAUUCUGAAUCACUCAACUUCGUUAAGAUAUGCGGAAGUUAUGAUGAUUUAAAAAUUUCCCAGAAAACCGGCGAGAAACUGCAUAAUCCGGCGACCAGCGACCGGAAUCUGGUGAAAAGUAAAUGAAAAAACGCAGUUCUAAAACAACUAAAUACGUAAUUGCAUAUCAUUCAAAACACAGAAACUUGUGAGAGUGGCCUGAACAGAAAGAAAAAAUAUGAAAUGAAGUUCCUUUAAAAUCUUAUCCGGUAAAAGAAUUUUUCAUUAUGAUGGAACACAGACGGUGGAAAGUGUUUUUACGGAAGUGAUAGAAAUUUUAUUCUUAACUGUUUAACACAAAUAUUUUUUAAUUUGUAUAAUGACACGUAUUGUAUCAUUUUAUGUGUCGAUCAUAUUAAAAAAAUAAUGUUCAAGAAGGGUAACAUCACAUAUCUAACUUAAACUAGGGAAUGUCAUACUUAAUGUGAUCAUAACUAGUAACUUUUUAUUUUUUACCAACUGCUAAUAAAUUAUAAAGCACCAAGUAUUUGAAUUUUUUAAUUAACCUGGUGAGAUAUUCCCCAAGUUCUGACAUCCACGCCAAUCAAUGUAGUAAUUCCUAAUCUUGUAGUUUGUAAAAUUAUCUUUCCCACCUAGAAUGCGAAUAAGGGGUACAUUUUGCACAGUGCACCCUCACUACUAGUUUAAAUGACUUAUAAGCUUUGGUUUUAUUUAUUCAAAUUUUUGCUCAUCAUCUAUACUUUAUGAUUUUUGUCACUUUUCAGGUGUCCGCUAGUACACUUUGACUUCAGUUGGGGUCUGUCAAAGUUCAUGAAGCACCAUUACUAAUUCCAGACAUAUGAUUUGUUGCUGAACAAGACAUAAAUUUCAUAAUUUCACUUUUACUCUGGACAGUUGUAUCGUGUUGACUUACAAUACAGGUACUACAUAUUUCUCGAAAACUAUUUCUUUCAAAUAUUUGUUGUUUUAGACGUUUGUUUUUACUCUGCCUGACUAAGAAAUAAAAGUGUUGGUUUUACAUUUUAGUGCCCACCAAAUACUGUAUUUCAGCUGAGCUUCAAUACUAACAAACCUAAGGAAACCAUCAUGUAUUAAAAAAUAAUCAACUAAAAGUGAGCUAAUCCCCUUAUAAUCAAAUUUUAUUGUUUUCUAAACAAAAAAAAAAAGAAAACUAAUGAAAAGGGCUUGAAAACUUUGAGUUUUAAUGAUAAGGACAAAAUAAAGGGUAAAGUGAAUAGUACCAGGAUUGACUUUUUAGUGUAAAAAUGUGGUUUUUCGUUAAAGUGAACAGUACCGGGAGCUUUUCGUUAAAGUUUCCAAAAAAAAAUGGAUUGGGGUAGCUAGCAGAAAUAAACAAAUAAAAUAUCAUGUGACAGUGAGUUUGGGGACCAUACAAAUGCAUGUGUUAUUUUUAUCAUGCAAUACAAAAAGUUUGAAACCGUUCUGCUAUGCAAUGAUGAAAUGUAAACUAUUCAAAAUUUGCAUACUGUAAAAUAAUAAUAAUAAUAAAAUAAAUAUACACAUGCACUAAAACGAUCAAUUGAAAAUAUUGCCCUCAAAGUUCGAUUUUCUUUAACCAAAACCCACCAUAGUAUAUUCUCCUAACAAAAACUUAAUAACUAGGCUCCAAAUUGCCCUUAAUGUUCUUAUUUUAUUGUAGAAACUUCAUCGUAAGUCCGAAAUCAGUUCCACUUGCGUCCACGCAUUCGUAAUAACGAGCACUACGAGGAUAUGCUAAAAGGAUGGGUCUAUUCACUUGUGUGUGUGUUUAGGUCAACCCCAAAAAAUAAACUAAUUAGGCAUUAUGCCAAAUUAGAAAAUAAUAAAACAUAUGGACCAACUUGCCCACUUGUUUAACAAGUCUAGCGAGCAAACCAUCAUUGUCACAGUCUGCAACCAACGAUACUAACAGCGUACUUGAAAACAAGUUGUGAAGUCUUGAGGGUGCAAAAUAACCAUUUUGCCCAUCGUCGUGAAACAUGUGCAACUCUUUAGUAAGGACGAGUACUAUCUCAUAACGACAGAACAUGGACAAAAGUGAAAAGAACUCAAAUGUCAACAUAGAAUUUUCACUUAGCCUGUCAAGGGUAUUUUCGUAAUUUUAUAAUGUCAAAGAAUAAAAUACAAAGGAUAGGAUGUAACAAUCUACCUCUUUAAAGAAAUUUUGUCCCUAAAAAAUCAUAUUAUACAAGAUCUUACUCGAAGAACAAGUAUGCAUACAGACCUCUCAUGUGCCUUUUAUGCCUCUACGCUGCUACCUGACGCUUAUCUGGUAUUCUAGUACUGUCCAACUCCAUACCACCUAUAUCCUGGUCCUAAGGCAUGACUUCUUGUUACUGCAUAGUAUUUCUAGUAUAAGGAACCAUACCGUGUCCUGGUAGUGGAUAACGCAACACCAUCAUAGCAGGUUGGCUUCCCAUGAGUAAGUUUGGUUGAUAGAGAACUGCUCUUGUGAGCUACUUUCGUUGUUUUGGGGCACACUUGUUGGCCCAAUAUUCUUGCUGACCGCAUAUAUGACAACCUUUACUCCCUUCCUAUACUUGUCGUAAUGAUGGGUGUUGUAUUGGAAGCAAUUAUUGUACUGGUGUUACUGGAAUUACCCUAAGGGCGAAAUUUAGAAGCUGUUGGAUAUACUUCCAAAAUCGAGUUUACUGGAACUUGAUUAUCCAUUAGAAGAUGUGAAAUUAUAGUUGUUUUUAUUUUUUGAAACAUUGGUUCUGUUGUGGAUAAAAAGAACACUAGUGUUCUUCUGUUGAGUGCUACCACUCUCAUCACCAACAUUGUCACUCGAGACAUUAUCGAAAUUCUCAAUGCAAAGUAAAGCCUUGUAGAAUUCCUUGUAUGUGGUACAUGAUAUAGGUGCUGCCAAGAAACAAAACUGCUUGCGGAUCUGUUAUUUGAACUGGUGGAGCCUCUUUGAAUGGUUAGUAGCGAUUGUUGGACAAUAGCAUGACAGAUCGUUAAACUUCCGAUGGUACUUAGCUACCGAUGUUUUGCCUUGUGUAGGUCCCUAAACUCAUCUUCUUUUUUUUUCGAGUCUUGUACUCCGAAAACUCCGCAUGUGUAAGUUUAUCUUACAUUGCCAGUCCCAAGCCCGGAUAAAAGAGGAGGGGGAGGACAUCAGGUAAUUGAUAGCCGGCACUCCUAUUUUACGUCAAAUUCUUAUGAUAAUGAAUCCUGAACCAAAUUGCACUAAAGUUAGGUCAUUACCCGUAAGUGGCGCGCUGUGGCCCGAGCAUAUUAAUAAGUGAGCAAGGGUCGUCGUAUCUUCAUCAACGCUCGGAUGCAGUGUUAAAUGAGUAAGGAGGCCAUAUAAACUUCUUUUUGAACGACUCCACUCAAAGUUGUUUGGAAGCAUCUGCUCCUAUCAACUUUGACCUUAUUGGACGGGGGAUGGUGAAGAAGCUAGGGCAUGAGGGUAGAGUUCAAGAGAGUAAAAUGCGUUUAGGAACGUGGAAUAUAGGAACCUUAACGGGAAAAUCUGUGGAAGUAGUGGAAGUUAUGGUGAGGAGAAGGAUAAGUAUUAUAUGUCUACAAGAAACUAAGUAGGUUGGUCUUAAGGCAAAGGAUCUCGAAAACUCAGGUUUUAAACUUUUGCAUUUGGGCACAAAUAGAACGAGAAAUGAUGUUGGCAUCAUCGUGGACAAGACCUUGACACAAGAUGAUGUAAACAUCAAGAGGGUAGGAAAUAGAAUUAUGGCAAUCAAAUUGUAAUAGGACAAGAACUCAUCAAUGUGAUUAGCGUGUAUGCACCUCAAGCAGGGUUGGAUACGAGAUUGAAGGAGAAAUUUUGGGAAGAUCUUGGAGACUUGGUACAAGGAAUCGCUCAGAUUGAGGAGAUUUAAAUGGACACGUGGGCAAUGAGACAGGCCAUGGUUUUGGGGAGAGAAACUAGGAUAGGAAAGCCAUCUUGGAUUUUGCAAUGGCAUACGAUCUCUUCUUAGCCAACACCUUCUUUAAGAAGAGAGAAGAACAUGUGAUCACCUACAAGAGUGGGUCGUCAAAAACACAAAUAGAUUUUCUUCUAAUGAGGAAGGAGGAUCGUAUAACUUGCAAGGAUUGCAAAGUUAUACCAGGAGAGAGCUUGGCUAAUCAAUAUCGCUUGUUGGUGAUUGAUGUACAUAUCAGAAGAGAGAAAAAAGAACAAGACCUUGAAGUGCCCAAGGACUAGAUGGUGAAAUCUAAAAGGAGAAAAACAAGCCAUUUUCAAAAAGAAAAUAAUCACCUUAUGCGUGUGGGGUAAAGAGGGGGAAGCUAGCCAAAUGUGGGAUUCUAUGGCUAGUUGUAUCCGAAAAGUAGCAAAAGGGGUAUUAGGAAAGUCCAAGGACUUUGCUCCACACCAAAAGGAAUCUUGAUGGUGGAAUGAAGAGGUAGAAACAAAGGUUAAAGCUAAGAAUGAAUGUUGUAAAGUCUUAUACAAGGAUAGGACCGAUGAAAACGGCGAAAGGUAUAAAAUAACGAAGAAUGAGGCGAAGAAAGCUGUGAGAGAAGCGAAACUAGUAGCUUUUGACGAUAUGUAUAAGCAACUAUAUACCAAAUGAGAGUUAGAUAUCUAUAAACUAGCUAGAGCAAGAGAAAAGAAGACGAGACCGAAACCAAGUAAGGUGCAUCAAUGAUAAGAAUGGAAAAGUUCUUGCUACAGAGAACACGGUCAAAGACUGAUGGAGUGGUUAUUUUCAUAAUCUUUUCAAUGAAAGACAUGAAAUGAGUACUUCUUUGGGGGAGUUGAAUAACUCAGAAGAGUAGAAACUACUCAUUUUACCGCCGAAUUAAGAAGGAAUAAGUGGUUGUAGCUUUGAAAAAGAUGAAGCAUAGAAAAACAAUGGUCCCAGAUGAUAUACCGAUUGAAGUGUGGAAAGUCUUGAGAGAGACGGGUAUAACAUGGCUCAUAGACCUUUUCAAUAGGAUUUUAAAAACGAAGAAGAUGCCAAAUGAGUGGCGAAAGAGCUCUUUGGUGCCUAUCUACAAGAAUAAGGGCGACAUACAAAAUUGCAUGAACUAUAUGGAUAUCGUAACAUCCCACAUCGCCCAGGGGAGUGAUCCUUAAAUGUAUAUUCUCAUUCCUACCUAGCACGAGGCCUUUUGUGAGCUCAUUGGCUUCAGGUUUAGUAGGAACUCUGAAGUUAAGCGAGUAGCGCGCGAGAACACUCCCAUGAUGGGUGACCUAUUGGGAAGUUGCUCGUGAGUUCCCAGAAACAAAAUCGUGAUGGCGUGGUCGGGGCCCAAAGUGGACAAUAUUGUGCUACGGUGGUAGAGCGGGCUCGGGAAGUGGUCCACCCCGGGCUGGGAUGUGACAAUGGUAUCAAAGCCAAUCCUUGGCCGGAAGUGUGCCGACGAGGACGUCGGGCCCCUAAGGGUUUCGAUUGUAACAUCCCACAUCGUCUAGGGGAGUGAUCCUUGAAUGUAUAUUCUCAUCCCUAGCUUGCACGAGGCCUUUUGGGAGCUCACUGGCUUCGGGUUCCGUAGGAACUCCGAAGUUAAGCGAGUAGCACGCGAGAGCACUCUCAUGAUAGGUGAUUCACUGGGAAGUCGCUCGUGAGUUCUCAGAAACAAAACCGUGAGGGUGUGGUCGGGGCCCAAAGCAAACAAUAUUGUGCUACGGUGGUGGAGUGGGUCCGGAAAGUGGUCCGCCCUGGGCCGGGAUGUGACAUAUAUUAAGUUAAUGAGUCAUACAAUGAAGCUCUAGGAGAUGAUAAUUGAGCAUAAACUGAGGCAAGAGACAUGGGUCUCGAACAACCAAUGCGGGUUUAUGCCAAGGCGCUCAACCAUGAAUGUAAUCUAUCUCUUACGAAGAUCGAUGAAAAGAUAUAGAGAUAUGAAAAAGGAUUUGCAUAUGAUCUUUAUAGAUUUGGAAAAACGUAUAAUAGGGUCCCAAGAGACAUUUUUUGGAGGAUUUUAGAGAAGAAAAGAGUACAAGUAGCAAUAUCCAAGCUAUAAAAAGAUAUGUAUAAUUGAGCAAGAACUGUCGUAAGAACUCAUGAAGGACAAACCGAAAGCUUCCCCAUUACUGUAGGGUUACAUCAAGGCUUAUCUUUAAAUUCUUACCUUUUUGCAUUGGUAAUGGAUGAGUUAAUGAGACAUAUUCAAGAUGAUAUUUGUUGGGGUAUGUUUUUCGCAGACGAUAUAAUAUUGAUAGAUGUAACUAAGGAAUGAGUAAAUGCGAAACUUAACCUUUAGAGAGAAGUGUUGGAAUAUAAAGGUCUUUGCCUAAGUCGGUUAAAGACAUAGUAUAUGGAAUGCAAGUUCAAUACAAAUGGAGGCUCAAAUGAGUUAGGGGUGAAGAUUGGAGACCAGGAAGUACCAAAGAGCGACUGCUUUCACUACUUAGGAUUUAUCUUGUAAAAGAACAGAGAAUUGGAUGGAGACCUCAACCAUAGAAUACAAGUUGGAUGGAAGAAGUGGAAGAGUGCAUUUGGCGUGUUGUGUGAUCGUUGUAUACCACUAAAGCUCAAAGAAAAAUUUUAUAGGACGGCAAUAAGGUUGGCAAUGCUUUAUGGCAUAAAAUGUUGGGCGUUGAAGCAUCAACACGUACAUAAAAUUGGUGUAGCGGAGAUGAGAAUGCUUCGUUGGAUGUGUGGGCACACGAGAAAGAAUAAGAUUAGGAUGAGGAUAUCCGAGGUAAAGUUGGAGUAGCCGAAAUUGAAGAAAACAUGAGAGAAAAUCCAUUACGGUGGUUUGGACAUGUGAAACGAAGGCUUACUAACGCUCCGAUUAAAAGAUGUGAUUACGGGACAGGUCUAUGACCGAAGGAGUAGAAGAAGACCUAUGAAGACUUUGGAAGAGACUUUGAGAAAAGACUUAGAAUGCUUGGAUCUAACGGAAGACGUGACACAGAACUGAACACAAUGGCGUUCUAGGAUUCAUAUCAGGAUGGAGAGUUAAAAGAAUAAAUGAGUAAAUGAUUUAAAGUGCUGCUAUUAUCUUGUGAUAAAUGAUGUUGAGAUUUCCCCGGUUGUCGAAGUCAAAGAUGUUUGCCUGGGGACUGAGAACCUUUAGCACUCGAUACAUCUAAUGGAUGUUCAUCCCCCAUCUCGGUAAGAGCCGCUCGGUCUGCAUCGCGCUCCAAGUUUUUUUUCUUGGUACCCAAGAGUAGAUUAUUCUCCAGGAACAGAUGAUGGAGAAGAAUCCUCCAAAAUCCACGACUAAGGGUUGGUUUUAUGGUUAGUGAAAAAGGUUGACAAUCAACUAGACUAGCAAGUCACCAUUGAGCAGGUUGGUGGAGUCAGCAAAGUUGUCAUGAUCAGCGGCAUUGCUACCGACUAACUAGGAGUAGUCUUAAGCCUCAGCCAUCAUUUUCUGAAUUUAAAGCAGUCGACAUUGUGUAUGUUCGGUAUUUACAGGUAGUGUAUGGAUCUCAGAAAUAUAAGGGAAGAGAAUCACAGUAGAGUAAGGUGUAGUUACUCAGGUGAUUAAGCACUCGUCUCAUUUAGACAACUUAGGCUAGUUGGUCUACCAAUUAUGUGGAUUUCUACUUUAUCCUACAGACUAGAUUUACCGAAGAUGGUCGGCGCCGACAUUUACUCACACAGGCGACAACCAAGAAUUUGAAUUUCUUGGAAAAAAAUUACAAUUACAUCUAAAGGUUUCGAAUAGUUCACAAACAAAAAGAAAUGCAAGUGUGGAAAACUUGGAGAAACAACGACAAAGAUUAAAGGCUUGAGGAGGUAGCUCUCAAGGUCAACGGAGAAAUUGUAGAGCAAAUUCGACAGAGUUUCGACAAUGAAGUCAAAUUACAAAAUGAAGGUAAUGCAAGGGUAAGGUUUAUAUAGCAGGAGGCAGAUUCUCUGCUUUCUUUUUCCAUACACUUCUCAUAAUCUCCUAUUUGUGCGGUCACGGUUAAGCCACGUCAACAUUUUAUAUUAAUUUUUUUAUAUAAAUAAUAAGACAAAAAGACGUACCUUAAUUGUGACCGAACAAAUAAAAGGGAAUGAGAAGUGUAUGAGAAAAUGUGAGCAGAGAAUCUACCUCCUUAUACAAGAGGUCACACUUGCUUGCAACGUCUUUAUUACACAUACGCCUCGAUUACCCCUCCAACCAAUGGCAAACACGUACGCUACUGGCACCGUUGUCACGACCGCCUAUUUGAGCGGUAGCCAUACUAUCAGAGCCAGAGCGCUUGGGAAGGAGGAAUACCCAUGUUACCCUUUGAACCAUAUAUUAUUUUAAGGUCCGAUCGACCGUUUCGACUCCAUGCCCAAGAAGAAACCUUUAAACAAGGAGUUGGGGACUUGUUAACACAAGAUCUUUUUAGACCCUUAAAAAUAGUAUAGGCCGGGAAAGAGAUCGAGAAAGGCCCAGGAAAGAUAAGGCCCAAAGGAGGAAAGGAAAUCCAAACCCCAAUGAAUUAGAAAGAAUCAUUUAUCGAGCGCUAUAGUUAACCGCUCACUAGUUUGGGUUGACUAGAGCAACAGAAAGUACUUUCCCGACUGAGAACUUUAUGGCACAAAGCUCUAGGAACAGGUCUACUCAGACACCAUAUUAGGCUAUAUGUCAGUGACCAAUGAAGGCAGAAGUCUAGGAUGAGAUGUAAAGGUAGUCGGACUAUCACUCGGAAAAAACUCCGUUAACUUGUCAAGGCCAAGCAUGUCACUUGGUACACACUGGCCCAGAAAAACAUGUAAUCUCGACUAAACAAUGUUACUUCAUAGCCAAAUGUUGACUGAUGAAUGAUAAAGCUCUCAGCAUGCUAGUCUAUGUACGUAGCUCAUUUAACGCUAGAAUAGUAAAGUAAGUGAGCUCAUCACUGUUUGGACGCAUUAAGGGCCUAUAUAAAGGAGUGAGCACCUCUUUUAAAGGGGUCAAACGAUUGUGAGAUUAGCCGAGCACUUAUUGUAUUCUCCGAGUGAAUAUGUACUAAGCAACACAGUGAAUAUAGCACAGUUUUGAGUGGUAAACCAUUAAAGUCCAUUAUUUCAUAGCUUUAAUCCUAAAUCCAACAGGGGUUAAUUAUUCUUGUUUGCUAGUGUGCAAAUUUUGAGCUUUAACAAUACUUGAAGAUAAAGAAUGUCAUUUGGUUCAAGAUUAAAUUUACCUAUAUUUCACAGAUAUAGAUAUAGGUAAAUUAUUUUAUGUCGAUUAAAGUUACUACUUGAAGAUAAAGGAUGUAAUUUGUUUCAAGAUAAAGGAUUUCAAAUGUCAUUUGGUUAAAAAAAAUAUAGGUAUAUUAUUUUUACGAAGAUUAUAAGGAAAUAUAUUUUUAUAAUAAUAAUAAAAUAUAUAUAUAUAUAUAUGUAUGUAUAUUGUUUCAAUUGUAGCCUACAAAACUGAAAUUUUGAACAAGUGCUAGCAAAAACAAUUAUAAAGUGUAAUGCACCCACGUGAUGAAUUUUAAAUGCUUGCCAAAAAAAAAAACAACCGAAAGAAAUGAGAUGAAAUUUAGGAUUCCAUCAAUACUGUAGGUAUUAAUAUAUUUAUUGAGAUAAUUAAGGUGUUUUGGCAUAGAUUGUAAAUAGUUUGUAAUAAUAGGUUAUUUCUUUGUCUACAUGUCAAUUUGAAUUUUGGGGUUUAAUAAGAUAUUUAAAUAUAAGUGGGUUUUGUCUAAAAAUAAAAAUUAUGGGUUGUGAUUUUCACACAAUUUCAUAUAAUUCAAGUUCAGCAACAUGAUAAACUCAAAUAAAAAUUCAAAUAUUUUAAACAUCAUGAUGAUCUUAUAUUCAAAUGCUAUCAAAGCAUCAGCACACAUUUUUUUUUCCUAAAAUAAAAAUAAAAAUACAACCUAGAUUUAAACAAACAAAAAAUAUCCGAUUAUUAAUGUUUAUUGCUCGUUUGGUUUUCGGCAGUAGAGCACUGAGCGCGAGACUUACAAAGCUAUCAACAAAGAGAAGCAUUCCAGCCGCAGUCUUUGAUUUCAGAAGGAAAUGGCAACGGACAUUAUAAUUGCAAUUGCCUCAAAAAUUGGAGAGUGCUUGGUCAAACCAAUAGGAACAGAGUUUGGCUAUUUGAUUAAUUACCAUUCCAACCUUGAAAGUCUUAAGGGUGAGAUAAAAAAGCUUUUUGACAAGAAAGAUGGAGUGCAGGGAUUGGUGGAUGCUGCCAAAAGGAAUGGUGAAAUCAUCAAACCUGAUGUUCAGAGUUGGCUAAAGAAUGUGAACGACGACAUGGUCAAAAAAGUGUUGCAGUUUGAGGAUGAAAUUAACAAGAAAAGGCGAUGUGUGUAUCGAUGGAGCUUGAGUCGGAGAGCCUAUAAGAUUAAACAAGAAGUUCUUCAGCUCUAGAACGAAGGAGCAUUUGAAAAUGUGGCCCAUCCUGCACCUCCACGAGAGAUAUGGUCAACAUUCAAGAAAGGUUUUAAGGAUUUCAAGUCCAGAAUGGCAUACAUGAAUGAGGUGAUAGAGGGUUUGAAGAGGGAACGAGUACGAAUGAUCGGGAUUUGUGGAAUGGGGGGUGUGGGUAAAACCACAAUGGUGAAAGAAAUCAUCGAAAGAUUGGCAAAACUAGACUUGUUUGAUAAAAUUGUAAUGGCAACUGUGUCUCAAAGUCCAAGUAUUAGGAUGAUCCAGUCGGAAAUUGCAGACAAAAUAGGUUUGAAAUUUGAGGAGGAAUCCGAGCCCGGAAGAGCACUAAAGCUACGUGGGAGACUCAUGGAAAUAAAGAGGAUCCUGAUUGUAUUAGAUGAUGUCUGGACAGAGCCUGAUUUUGAGGCUAUAGGACUCCCUUGUGGAGAUGAUCAUGAAGGGUGCAAAGUUUUGUUGACAUCACGAGAUUCGGAAGUCUGCAACAGGAUGGGAAGUCAACAAAUUAUUGCUGUCCCGAUUUUAACAACAGAAGAAUCACAGGAGCUCUUUAGAGAAAUGGUAGGUGAAUCCUUCGAUGAGCCUGAUUUACGUUCCAUUACAAAAGAGGUCGUGCAUGAAUGUGGAGGUUUACCUAUUGCAAUUGUAACUGUUGGAAAAGCCCUAGAAAAGAAAACAAGCGUGAAUGGGAUGAUGCCCUUAAUCAGCUGCGAAAUUCUACCCCAGUGAACAUCCCUGGAGUGAAUGACAAAGUUUAUUCUUGCAUAAAAUGGAGUUAUGAUAGAUUGGACAGUGAUGAAGCCAGAUCAUGUCUUUUACUUUGUUGUUUAUUUCC